This 505-nucleotide unclassified non-coding RNA is filed under the name Hevea brasiliensis (rubber tree). The record is from RNAcentral. Lineage: Eukaryota; Viridiplantae; Streptophyta; Magnoliopsida; Malpighiales; Euphorbiaceae.
AAUGGAUAUGCGGUGUUUGGAAUAGAUUAUGAAGGUCAUGGACGAUCAGCGGGUGCGCGCUGUUACAUCAAAAAGUUUGACAACAUUGUCAAUGACUGCAGCGAGUUUUUCAAGUCAGUUUGUGCGCAGGAGGAGUAUAGAGAGAAAAAACGGUUUCUGUAUGGGGAGUCGAUGGGAGGGGCCGUGGCUCUUUUAACACACAAGAAGGAUCCUUCCUUUUGGCAUGGUGCUCUUCUGGUUGCACCUAUGUGUAAGAUAUCUGAGAAGGUGAAGCCACAUCCUGUGGUUAUAAGCUUACUAACUAAAGUGGAGGAUGUCAUACCAAGAUGGAAGAUAGUCCCUACGAAGGAUGUCAUUGAUUCGGCCUUCAAGGACCCCGCUAAAAGGGAAGAGGUACGCGAGAACAAGUUAAUUUAUCAGGCAAAGCCAAGACUAAAGACAGCUUUGGAAAUGCUAAGAACCAGCAUGCACCUUGAGGAAAGUUUGCACGAGGUCACUGUACCAU